UUUUUAGAACCUGAGAUACCUGAGAAUCAAUUGUCAUGAGUGGUUGCAAUCCUUACUCGUCUUCUAGUGCUUCAUCUGGGUAGGGGUCUAUAUAGUCUACUUGAGUGAACUUUCACUGCUACUCUGAGAAAUCGCUUAAAUGAAGUUUAAGUUGAUCAGGCUGAAAAUUGAUUCAAAGCCUUGGCUUGUUCCUGUGAGAACAGAAAACUAAAAAUCUCAGUUUCAUUAUCUAGUGAAACUAACUGCUUUUCUUCUUUUUUUCUUGUUGAAGCAUGAGUCCCCUUUCCAUCCUUGGUAAAUCCGAGUUCUUAAUGAUCUACUUUCUUUAAUUCUGCAGAAGCAGAUUCCAGCAUGUAGGACUCUGGUCCCCGGUCCUGACUUGCUUCAAAUGCUUCAGAGGUAACUGUUGGCCCACUCGCUGUACACCUUGUGUUUUUAACCGAUUUCAAUUCUCAUCUGCAAAUUUGUGCAGGCACCUGGAGGAGAA
Molecule: long non-coding RNA, 487 nt
Filed under: Linum usitatissimum (flax)
Lineage: Eukaryota; Viridiplantae; Streptophyta; Magnoliopsida; Malpighiales; Linaceae
Description: long non-coding RNA (LUSI_LNC001780)
Source: RNAcentral